Molecule: long non-coding RNA, 569 nt
Filed under: Hordeum vulgare
Lineage: Eukaryota; Viridiplantae; Streptophyta; Magnoliopsida; Poales; Poaceae
Description: long non-coding RNA (HVUL_LNC015137)
Source: RNAcentral
AAGGGGACAAGAUGCAUCUUUGUGUUGCUUCUACUAAGGAUAAAACGAUGGUGUUUAUUCAUAUUGUUUGAGCUUACUUUGUCUACAUCAUGUCAACUUACUCCAUGCAUUACUUCGUUCAUCAUGAACUUAAUACGUAGGGAGGCAAGCAUAGAAGUGCUCUUGAAGUGAAGUAAUUGUAAUAUGUGCAGGAAGUAGCCAGCCUAUUUUUUAUGGACAUUAUUCCUAUGUACACGCGAUCAGUGCCAUGAAUAUCACAUAACUAUCCGCUAUUCUGUCAAUUGCCCAACAGUAAUGUGUUUACCCAUCAUAUGCUAUUUUUCCAUGAGAGAUGCCAUUAGGGAAAGCUAUGGCCCCCGGCUCUACACACAACAUAUUAAUAAAACCUUAAUUACCUUGUUGUUAUUCACUUGUUUUCAUUUUAUCUUGCUAUCUACAAUUAUCUACAGACCUCACUUGCUUGCAAAUAACAAGACAAGAGGAUUGACAACCCUCUUGCUCGCGUUGGGUCCAAGUUGUUUGUUCUUUUCUGUGCAGCCGGUGAAGAUGGUUGUGGUUGAUAUUACUAU